This 1096-nucleotide long non-coding RNA is filed under the name Salmo salar (Atlantic salmon). RNAcentral's name for it is "lncRNA (ENSSSAG00000087238.1)". The record is from RNAcentral. Lineage: Eukaryota; Metazoa; Chordata; Actinopteri; Salmoniformes; Salmonidae.
AUUCAUUUCGCAACACCUACGGCUUCCACUAGAUGUCAACGAUCUUUAUAAAGUUGUUUGAAGCGUCUAUGAUAAACAGAGAGCAAAUUAGAAUCCAAGGAAGUUGACAUGUCAUCACUUCAUUUUUUUGCGCCUGCGCAUAAAUCUAAGAGACGUGAGUUUGUCAUCAUUUUUUAUCUAGACAUAGGAUAGGUUGUGUGAAAAUAUUACUGAUGUUUAACGUUAAAAAUGGACCAAAAGAUUAAUGCUAAACAACAUUUGACAUGUUUGAACGAACAUAAAUAGAUUAUUUACUAGGUUUUUUUAGCUUUUCGGCGUGAUUUUACCAGCCCCACACCACGUUUUGUGGGAGCAUAAUGAACGCUAAGUACUUGGUGUUAUUUGGACAUAAAUUAUGAACUUUGUCAAAAGAAACCACAUUUGUUCCGGACCUGGAAUGCCUUCCGGACCUGGGAUCCUGCCUUCUGAUGGAGAUAAUCAAAGGUGUCAAAUCGCAUCUCUGCAUGUCUGGCAGACAUAUCAGUGUGGAUGACGAUCACCACCUCAAGCUGAACCUCGGCAAGACAGAGCUGCUCUUCCUCCCGGGGAAGGACUGCCCGUUCCAUGAUCUCGCCAUCACGGUGGACAACUCCAUUGUGUCCUCCUCCCAGAGUGCUAAGAGCCUUGGCGUGACCCUGGACAACACCCUGUCAUUCUCCGCUAACAUCAAGGCGAUGACCCGAUCCUGUAGGUUCAUGCUAUACAACAUUCGCAGGGCACAACCCUGCCUUAUACAAGAAGCGGUGCAGGUCCUAAUCCAGGCACGUGUCAUCUCCCGCCUGGAUUACUGCAACUCCCUGUUGGCGGGGCUCCCUGCCUGUGCCAUUAACCUGUUGGGGCUAGGGGGCAGUAUUUUCACGGCUGGAUAAAAAAACGUACCCGAUUUAAUCUGGUUACUAAUCCUACCCAGUAACUAGAAUAUGCAUAUACUUAUUAUAUAUGGAUAGAAAACACCCUAAAGUUUCUAAAACUGUUUGAAUGGUGUCUGUGAGUAUAACAGAACUCAUUUGGCAGGCAAAACCCUGAGACAUUUUCUGACAGGAAGUGGAUACCUGAU